CUACGAAGGGGGCUAGCGUUGUUCGGAAUUACUGGGCGUAAAGCGCGCGUAGGCGGACUGAUCAGUUGGGGGUGAAAUCCCAGGGCUUAACCCUGGAACUGCCUCUAAUACUGUCAGUCUUGAGUUCGGGAGAGGUGAGUGGAAUUCCUAGUGUAGAGGUGAAAUUCGUAGAUAUUAGGAAGAACACCAGUGGCGAAGGCGGCUCACUGGCCCGAUACUGACGCUGAGGCGCGAAAGCGUGGGGAGCAAACAGGAUUAGAAACCCUAGUAGUCC
RNAcentral lists this ribosomal RNA (274 nucleotides) under uncultured bacterium. RNAcentral's name for it is "partial 16S ribosomal RNA". It matches the Rfam family "Bacterial small subunit ribosomal RNA", at positions 523 to 796 of the family's 1533-position model. The record is from RNAcentral.